Molecule: unclassified non-coding RNA, 697 nt
Filed under: Scleria iostephana
Lineage: Eukaryota; Viridiplantae; Streptophyta; Magnoliopsida; Poales; Cyperaceae
Description: sequence contains ITS1, 5.8S rRNA gene, ITS2
Rfam family: 5.8S ribosomal RNA (bases 248-402)
Source: RNAcentral
CGUAGGUGAACCUGCGGAAGGAUCAUUGUCGGCGACCCGUGAAAACACGACCGGAGCACACGUGAUGGAACACUGCUGGAGCGGGAGAUCCGCACUAGCCAACCGGCCCACUGUCCUCGCGUCGCUUGGUGCGUUGGCUGCGGGCUGAUCACGGCGUGGGAUGACGCCAAGUAACAUGCGAUGCGGAGGCGGCGGCGGCGGCUCGUUGGAGCGUGCUGCUUGCUGCCGACGUGAUGGAAAUCAACAUGACUCUCGGCAACGGAUAUCUCGGCUCUCGCAUCGAUGAAGAACGUAGCGAAAURCGAUACGUGGUGUGAAUUGCAGAAUCCCGCGAACCAUCGAGUUUUUGAACGCAAGUUGCGCCCGAGGGUCCUGCCCGAGGGCACGCCUGCCUCAUGGGCGUAAUAAGCCCAUCAACGCUCUAAGUGUCCCAGCCGUGUCACAUGUGACGGGCGCGGCCAGAUGCGGACGAUGGCCCUCCGAGCCGGAGUGCACGGUGGGCCGAAGCGUGCGUUCGUCGGAUGCGGUCGGAGCGGCGAGUGGUGGGAUCCUGCGCAUGCCGCCUCGUGCCCUUUUCUGGCGUCGGGCGCUUAGCUUCGACCCUGUACGAGGAGCUCGUCGUCGGCGCGUCCGACUUCGAGGAACCCUUGGACCAAUACCCCAGGUCAGGCGGGGCUACCCGCCGAGUUUAAGCAUA